Molecule: ribosomal RNA, 301 nt
Filed under: uncultured bacterium
Lineage: Bacteria
Description: partial 16S ribosomal RNA
Rfam family: Bacterial small subunit ribosomal RNA
Source: RNAcentral
CAGUCGCCGCGGGAAUACGUAGGUCCCGAGCGUUGUCCGGAUUUAUUGGGCGUAAAGCGAGCGCAGGCGGUUAGAUAAGUCUGAAGUUAAAGGCUGUGGCUUAACCAUAGUACGCUUUGGAAACUGUUUAACUUGAGUGCAAGAGGGGAGAGUGAAAUUCCAUGUGUAGCGGUGAAAUGCGUAGAUAUAUGGAGGAACACCGGUGGCGAAAGCGGCUCUCUGGCUUGUAACUGACGCUGAGGCUCGAAAGCGUGGGGAGCAAACAGGAUUAGAUACCCCAGUAGUCCCUGUCUCUUAUACA